RNAcentral lists this transfer RNA (97 nucleotides) under Metarhizium album ARSEF 1941. It matches the Rfam family "tRNA". Rfam says of the family: Transfer RNA (tRNA) molecules are approximately 80 nucleotides in length. The record is from Rfam by way of RNAcentral. Lineage: Eukaryota; Fungi; Ascomycota; Sordariomycetes; Hypocreales; Clavicipitaceae.
GGUCCGGUGGUGUAAAGGCUAGCAUUCUAGACUUUGAUCAGGCGUUGGCCUGUUUGGGCGUUAUCUGGCGAUCCGGGUUCGAAUCCCGGCCGGACCU